RNAcentral lists this ribosomal RNA (967 nucleotides) under Lactobacillus gasseri. RNAcentral's name for it is "bacterial SSU rRNA". It matches the Rfam family "Bacterial small subunit ribosomal RNA", at positions 8 to 929 of the family's 1533-position model. The record is from RNAcentral. Lineage: Bacteria; Bacillati; Bacillota; Bacilli; Lactobacillales; Lactobacillaceae.
AGAGUUUGAUCAUGGCUCAGGACGAACGCUGGCGGCGUGCCUAAUACAUGCAAGUCGAGCGAGCUUGCCUAGAUGAAUUUGGUGCUUGCACCAAAUGAAACUAGAUACAAGCGAGCGGCGGACGGGUGAGUAACACGUGGGUAACCUGCCCAAGAGACUGGGAUAACACCUGGAAACAGAUGCUAAUACCGGAUAACAACACUAGACGCAUGUCUAGAGUUUAAAAGAUGGUUCUGCUAUCACUCUUGGAUGGACCUGCGGUGCAUUAGCUAGUUGGUAAGGUAACGGCUUACCAAGGCAAUGAUGCAUAGCCGAGUUGAGAGACUGAUCGGCCACAUUGGGACUGAGACACGGCCCAAACUCCUACGGGAGGCAGCAGGUAGGGAAUCUUCCACAAUGGACGCAAGUCUGAUGGAGCAACGCCGCGUGAGUGAAGAAGGGUUUCGGCUCGUAAAGCUCUGUUGGUAGUGAAGAAAGAUAGAGGUAGUAACUGGCCUUUAUUUGACGGUAAUUACUUAGAAAGUCACGGCUAACUACGUGCCAGCAGCCGCGGUAAUACGUAGGUGGCAAGCGUUGUCCGGAUUUAUUGGGCGUAAAGCGAGUGCAGGCGGUUCAAAUAAGGUCUGAUGUGAAAGCCUUCGGCUCAACCGGAGAAAUUGCAUCGAGAAACUGUUGAACUUGAGUGCAGAAGAGGAGAGUGGAACUCCAUGUGUAGCGGUGGAAUGCGUAGAUAUAUGGAAGAACACCAGUGGCGAAGGCGGCUCUCUGGUCUGCAACUGACGCUGAGGCUCGAAAGCAUGGGUAGCGAACAGGAUUAGAUACCCUGGUAGUCCAUGCCGUAAACGAUGAGUGCUAAGUGUUGGGAGGUUUCCGCCUCUCAGUGCUGCAGCUAACGCAUUAAGCACUCCGCCUGGGGAGUACGACCGCAAGGUUGAAACUCAAAGGAAUUGACGGGGGCCCGCACAAG